This 72-nucleotide transfer RNA is filed under the name Candidatus Daviesbacteria bacterium. RNAcentral describes it as "tRNA-Lys". It matches the Rfam family "tRNA". Rfam says of the family: Transfer RNA (tRNA) molecules are approximately 80 nucleotides in length. Their secondary structure includes four short double-helical elements and three loops (D, anti-codon, and T loops). Lineage: Bacteria; Candidatus Daviesiibacteriota. The record is from RNAcentral.
GGGCCGGUAGCUCAACGGUAGAGCAGCACCCUUUUAAGGUGUUGGUUCAGGGUUCGAAUCCCUGUCGGCUCA